CUUGGUCAUUUAGAGGAAGUAAAAGUCGUAACAAGGUCUCCGUUGGUGAACCAGCGGAGGGAUCAUUACCGAGUUAUACAACUCAUCAACCCUGUGAACAUACCUAAAACGUUGCUUCGGCGGGAACAGACGGCCCUGUAACAACGGGCCGCCCCCGCCAGAGGACCCCUAACUCUGUUUUUAUAAUGUUUUUCUGAGUAAACAAGCAAAUAAAUUAAAACUUUCAACAACGGAUCUCUUGGCUCUGGCAUCGAUGAAGAACGCAGCGAAAUGCGAUAAGUAAUGUGAAUUGCAGAAUUCAGUGAAUCAUCGAAUCUUUGAACGCACAUUGCGCCCGCCAGUAUUCUGGCGGGCAUGCCUGUUCGAGCGUCAUUACAACCCUCAGGCCCCCGGGCCUGGCGUUGGGGAUCGGCAGAAGCCCCCUGUGGGCACACGCCGUCCCUCAAAUACAGUGGCGGUCCCGCCGCAGCUUCCAUUGCGUAGUAGCUAACACCUCGCAACUGGAGAGCGGCGCGGCCAUGCCGUAAAACACCCAACUUCUGAAUGUUGACCUCGAAUCAGGUAGGAAUACCCGCUGAACUUAAGCAUAUCAAUAAGCGGAGGA
Molecule: non-coding RNA, 604 nt
Filed under: Fusarium oxysporum
Lineage: Eukaryota; Fungi; Ascomycota; Sordariomycetes; Hypocreales; Nectriaceae
Also listed under: 1 other name
Description: eukaryotic LSU rRNA
Rfam family: 5.8S ribosomal RNA (bases 219-372)
Source: RNAcentral